Molecule: ribosomal RNA, 467 nt
Filed under: uncultured bacterium
Lineage: Bacteria
Description: bacterial SSU rRNA
Rfam family: Bacterial small subunit ribosomal RNA
Source: RNAcentral
ACGAACGCUGGCGGCGUGCUUAACACAUGCAAGUCGAACGAGGUCCAUUCAGUAGCAAUACUGAUGAAGGCCGAGUGGCGAACGGGUGAGUAACACGUGAGGAACCUAUCCUGGUCUCUGGGAUAACAGUCGGAAACAACUGCUAAUACCGGAUGCCGUCGGAGCGCUGCAUGGCGCACUGACGAAAGGGUUACUGGAUCAGGAGGGUCUCGCGGCCUAUCAGCUUGUUGGUGGGGUAACGGCCUACCAAGGCAUCGACGGGUAGCUGGUCUGAGAGGAUGAUCAGCCACACUGGGACUGAGACACGGCCCAGACUCCUACGGGAGGCAGCAGUGGGGAAUCUUGCGCAAUGGGCGAAAGCCUGACGCAGCAACGCCGCGUGCGGGAAGAAGGCCCUCGGGUUGUAAACCGCUUUCAGAAGGAACGAAACUGACGGUACUUUCAGAAGAAGGUGCGGCCAACUACGU